UUUAAUAAUAUUAUUUUUUUAUUUUGUUUAAGAUAAUGUUUAAUAGAAGUAUCUUUUUUAAUUUUUGUCUAAGUAUUUUUAAGAAUUGAUUUAUUAAAUUUUAGUUAAUUAGUAUGGUAAUUGAAUUAUGAUUUAAUUAUAAGUAUGGAAGUACUUUAUAUAGGGUACCUUUUGUAUCAGGGUUGAUCUAUAUUUUUGUAUAGAUUUUUACUUAUCUCGAUUUAGGUUGAUCUAUAUUUUGAAUUUAUUUUUAUUGUUUUAUCAAUAUUUUUAAUUUGGGUAUAGAAGUGAUAUGUUAUUCUUUUCCUAAGGUUUCUAGUUUUUCAAGAAAAAAUUUAAUUUUUUAUAGUAUUAUUGUUUAAUUACAAUUUUUUGUUUUUAAUUAUUUACUUAUUUAUAUUUUGGGGGAUAAGCUCUAUUAUAUUAUUCUAUAAUUUUUUAUUUUUAUCAAAAAGUAGGCUUUUAACCAGCUAUCUUUUAGAUUAAGUUUUAUUUCAUUUUUAAUUGAAAUUUUAUAAUUAUUUUAGGAAUUUUAUUGAAAUAUUUAAAUUAAUUUUUUAUUUUUUGUAAUAAUGAUUGAAUUAGUAUAUUUUUUGUUUAAAUUAUUUUUUUAAAAAAUUUAAUUUAAGGAACUUGGCAAAUAAACCCCCGCCUGUUUAUCAAAAACAUGUCUUUUUGAUAAUAAUUUAAAGUCUGACCUGCUCACUGAAUUAAUAUAUUUAAAGAGCCGCGGUAUUUUGACCGUGCAAAGGUAGCAUAAUCAUUAGAUUUUUAAUUGUAGUCUAGAAUGAAUGGUUUGACGAGGGGCUGACUGUCUCAAUUAUUAAUUGAUAAAAUUUAACUUUUAAGUUAAAAGGCUUAAAUUUGACUUUAGGACGAGAAGACCCUAUAGAGCUUUAUAUAUAAUUGAAAAUAGGGUUUUGAUAAUUUAUUUUAUUUAUUACUAAUAUAUUUUGUUGGGGUGACAUGAAGAAUAAUUAAACUCUUUAGAUUUGUAAAUCAUUAAUUUAUGAAAGGUUGAUCCAUUAUUUGUGAUUAAAAGAUUAAGUUACCUUAGGGAUAACAGCGUAAUUGUUUUUUAGAGUUCUUAUCAACAAGACAGAUUGCGACCUCGAUGUUGGAUUAAGAUAAGUACUAGUUGUAUCAGUUUAGUAACUAGGUCUGUUCGACCUUUAAUUUCUUACAUGAUCUGAGUUCAGACCGGUGUGAGCCAGGUCGGUUUCUAUCCUAAGUUUAUACAAUGUUAUAUUAGUACGAAAGGACCAUAUAGUUGAAAUAUUUUUGUUUAUUGUUGAUUAUUAUUAAUUA
RNAcentral lists this ribosomal RNA (1308 nucleotides) under Tagasta indica. RNAcentral describes it as "16S ribosomal RNA". The stretch from base 869 to 1232 matches the Rfam family "Archaeal large subunit ribosomal RNA", at positions 2150 to 2716 of the family's 2987-position model. The record is from RNAcentral. Lineage: Eukaryota; Metazoa; Arthropoda; Insecta; Orthoptera; Pyrgomorphidae.